GAUGAACGCUGGCGGCGUGCCUCAAACAUGCAAGUCGAGCGGGGCUAUGUAAUACCGCAAGGUAGAACAUAGCCUAGCGGCGAACGGGUGAGUAACACGUGGGUAACCUGCCUGGAAGACAGGGAUAACGAUUCGAAAGGGUCGCUAAUACCUGAUAAUAUCCUUUCAUCGCAUGGUGAUAGGAAGAAAGGGGAAACCCGCUUUCAGAUGGGCCCGCGUCCCAUCAGCUAGUUGGUAAGGUAAAGGCUUACCAAGGCGACGACGGGUAGCCGGUCUGAGAGGAUGUACGGCCACACUGGAACUGAGACACGGUCCAGACUCCUACGGGAGGCAGCAGUGGGGAAUUUUGGACAAUGGGCGCAAGCCUGAUCCAGCCAAUUCCGCGUGCAGGAUGAAGGCCUUCGGGUUGUAAACUAGCUUUUGUUACGGUAACGAAACGGACGAGCUCUAAUACAGUUUGCUAAUGACGGUACCCAACGAGGAAGCCCUGCUAACUACGUAGCCAGCAGCCGCGGUAACG
This 520-nucleotide ribosomal RNA is filed under the name uncultured bacterium. RNAcentral's name for it is "bacterial SSU rRNA". It matches the Rfam family "Bacterial small subunit ribosomal RNA", at positions 28 to 525 of the family's 1533-position model. The record is from RNAcentral.